Brachypodium distachyon (stiff brome) is the source of this 3250-nucleotide RNA transcript. RefSeq lists it as uncharacterized. Lineage: Eukaryota; Viridiplantae; Streptophyta; Magnoliopsida; Poales; Poaceae. The record is from RefSeq and is a predicted model, not a curated record. The transcript is spliced from 5 exons.
CCGCGAUCGCUCCGCAGUCCCGCACCCUCCGCACGGUAAAAAAAAGAAAAGAAAAAAAAAACGCCUGCUGCUCACGCCCUCCUCCUCGAGCGCCGUCGCCGCCCUCCUCCCCUGCGAGUCCGCCGGCCAAGAUCUCCUUCCCCUGCGCGCGCCGCCGCCAACCUCGGCCCGCGCCCUCCAAGCCCGCGACCUCCGCCACCUCCCGAGGCGUGCCCGGCGCCGCCGGCCCCCUCCGAGCCCCGAUCCAAUCGUCCACUGAGGGAUCCCCUCCUCGCUCCGUCUGCUCCUCCCGCGCCGCCACCAUCUCGCGGGGCCCUGCCGCCGAGUGCUCCCGACGCUCGAUGAGGGCGUCCCCUCCAGUCGCAGCUGUCGCCGGAGCGGAAGGGGAGACCAGUUCCCAUCGGCCAUCGUGCGUCUCCUCGCCUCCUAGAAAGAGGAAAACCCCGCAUCGCUCGCUGCCGCCGCCGCCGCCUGCUGUCAUCCUCCCCCGGCAUCUGCGUCCCUCGCCGCCGCCUUGCGCCUUGCCUAAGAGCCUCUGCCGACUCCGUUCUGCUCGCCCGCGUCCGCACCGCUGCCGCUGAAACAAGGCGCCUUCCUUCCCUGCCGCCUCCAUGAGGCCACUCCACUGCAGGCUAGCGGCGCGCCUGAGCUCCGUCCUGGCGGUCUCCUCCUACGUGCUCGCCGGGAGCAAGGCCCCGCCCGCCGCCGCCGCGCAUCUGUUGUAUGACCUUGCCAACUCCUAUGAACAGUUUGUGCGCAAAGUUGAGAAAGUUGGAGCCAUUAAUCACGUUAGAGCCGUGGAGGCUCAGAAGGAGACGAGUGGCCGGAGGAGGUGGAGAGAGGCAGAGAGCCAUGGCUGCACCUGGCUCCUUAGUCCCGGCUCACUCGAACCAAAUUGCCCCGUGAUGGCGCCGCCGGAGAUCUGUCCAUGGCAACAGCUAGGGAAAGAUGAUGACGAGCUCCUCGAACCUGAUGUAGAUGCGGGCCUGGAUGCCAACCGGCACGACGAACGCUCGAUAGAACCCCUGCACGCCACUCGGUUUCUUUGAGACAAAUGGUACUCAACUCAAAAUACAAUGGUGGCAGAACAGGUACUCCUUGAGUCCUUGAUAUCUACUAUGAGCAGCCAAAAUUACUGAUCUGAAUGUGUACUUCACUCAAUCAUGUCGCUGGCAGUUAAAUUGAUUCAUUCAGUAGUUCCUUUACAGCAGCCGCUUUUGUGCUACACCAAGUAAUUUCAUAGUGCUAGCACAUAGAAGCUUCUCUAGAUAGCACUGGGGCUGAUUCAGUUAUAUAGGUAAAGAAAAUAAAAGGUUAUAAUGCAUUACAGGAGCAGGGCAAGAGUAGUAAGGUGAAGGCUUAUUCCCUUGCACUAAUCAAUCAUUGGCUAGCUGGAUAUGGAAUCAGCCGGUCAGCGUCUAUGAUACAAUUAAUGCAAGUUCUGUAUGGUUUCUUUUUAUUAGGUUGAUAUUUAUGCAUUCAUAAAUUGUUUCUUCAGAAUUUUAAUCCAGAUCUGAAGUGGCAAGGAUGCAUUAUCUAGAAUGAGUCUAAUCAUGAAUAGACAAGUCAAUGAAAUCCAUCUUGGUGAUUAAGUUUAUGAAUCAAAAAUUAUCUACUAACUGCAGAAAGGAAGAAAACAAGUCACAGUUAUUCUCUCAGUUGUGUUCAUAUCCAGUGUGGGUUUGCUCUGCAUUUUCAUACUUGGAGCAAAUAGGACAAGCUAUAAAUCCUUUUGCUAGACUAUUACAUCUUAUCUACUGCCUGAAUUGAAGCUAUAAAUAACUUUGCUACCUGUUAGCAGCAGCAUGGUUGUCUUUAUCUACACUGCCGGUAAAAUUGUAUGAUUAUUGCGAUCCUCAACGAAAAGUGGAAAUGAACAAAUAAUUUCUGUUACUUGCGACCGUACCAAGGACAAAAAAGUUUGUUCAUUUGCUUGAUAUUGUACUUUUUAUUGCAUAUAUAGUUUUGCAUGAAGCAGGUAAAUGAAAUUUUCAGUGUUAUGGGGAUGCAUGAAACCAUGCGCCAACUUUGUUCUCAGGUAAUAGGGGAGGGAAUAAAGCUGCCGCUGCUCACACAGCACACCAAUUUGUUGAAUGUGCAAGCGAAGAUACUAUUGUCAUACUACAUGUCUACAUACAUAGUACAUAGGUAUAGUAUAUGGAUGAAUGUACUCUCUGCUGCUCCCCCGAUGGCUGGCUCAACCUCAAUGUAUGCAAAUUAAUCUGCUUAUUUUACUCAAUCAAUUAAAGGAUUCUGUCUUGAUGUACUGAUGCACACGCACACAAUAAAAAGUAACAUUAUAUAUGCCAAACUUGUCAUAGGUGCUAGAGUAGUUGUCAAUACAAACUAAAGCCAAUUAUCGACUUGGUCAAUUUGAAGUUCAUUAAGUAAUUAGUACUACUGUUGAACUGUCAGAGUAUAGUAGCUCAGAAAUGUUGAUGAAUCCCCAACCUCGAUGUUUAAUAUUAUUGUUGCCUGAGAUGGUUCUGUUCUCACAUCUUGCAUUGCAGUUCUCCACUUCUGGAGACAUUUGAACUGCAAACAUUUUCUGUAGGCAGAACAAGACGGUUGAUAUCUCUGUUACGGCCACUAAUUGGUACCAUGAAGCUUUACACAUCCUUCAAGAAGGGUGGCAAGUGGCAACGCGCUCAAGACGGCGCAAGGUGGCUUCGAUGUCAGCGAGAUCAUCGACAUCAUCGUCUCCCGUGGGUACACGUAGGUGAGAGCAACUUAAACGCAGAGACGCUAAUGCUUACUUGCAAAUCAGCCAGGAUAGUAUCCAUCUCUUCGAUGUUGUUGGAUCAUAUGCUUCUACCCUCCAAAGGAUCAGAAGCUUGCUUUUUUGAGAUUGCAGCAAUAGUGUUGUCUAUGCAGAACACAGCCAAAACUGGAAAACAAGAAAUUCUCAGGUGAAUGCUUGUUGGCACAUGUCAAUUGAAGUAUUUCCCUGCUACCAUCAAAGCUAUAGCUGGAUGAUCCUCGGCAUUACUGGUUCAACUCAGAGCUUUUUUUCAGCCCGGUUUGCAUUGCCUUGUAUGGUGUAGGGGAUCUUUUGUUGUUUUAGAUUACUCUUUUCUUUUUUAGUUUGUACUCAUAUACACAACAUGGUUUCUCAAUUUCUUUAAUACAAAUAGGAAGCGCUCUGCAUGUAACCACAUUCAUUUCCCAAAAGGAAUUUCUCAUGUUGCAAAUUAUGAAAUGGAUAUUUGUAAGCCAUGGGCGGCUGUCUUGAUCUGACGUGUUUAAUUUA